This 468-nucleotide ribosomal RNA is filed under the name uncultured bacterium. RNAcentral describes it as "partial 16S ribosomal RNA". It matches the Rfam family "Bacterial small subunit ribosomal RNA", at positions 28 to 507 of the family's 1533-position model. The record is from RNAcentral.
GACGAACGCUGGCGGCGUGCUUAACACAUGCAAGUCGAACGGAAAGGCCCUGCUUUUGUGGGGUGCUCGAGUGGCGAACGGGUGAGUAACACGUGAGUAACCUGCCCUUGACUUUGGGAUAACUUCAGGAAACUGGGGCUAAUACCGGAUAGGAGCUCCUGCUGCAUGGUGGGGGUUGGAAAGUUUCGGCGGUUGGGGAUGGACUCGCGGCUUAUCAGCUUGUUGGUGGGGUAGUGGCUUACCAAGGCUUUGACGGGUAGCCGGCCUGAGAGGGUGACCGGCCACAUUGGGACUGAGAUACGGCCCAGACUCCUACGGGAGGCAGCAGUGGGGAAUAUUGACCAAUGGGCGGAAGCCUGAUGCAGCAACGCCGCGUGCGGGAUGACGGCCUUCGGGUUGUAAACCGCUUUCGCCUGUGACGAAGCGUGAGUGACGGUAAUGGGUAAAGAAGCACCGGCUAACUACGUG